GGCAGUAUGGUCGAGUGGCUUAGGCAGAGGUCUGCAAAACCUUGUACAUCGGUUCGAUUCCGAUUACUGCCUCCA
This is a transfer RNA of 75 nucleotides. It matches the Rfam family "tRNA". From Rfam's summary of the family: Transfer RNA (tRNA) molecules are approximately 80 nucleotides in length.